CAACCCCAACCUCGAUGAAGACGGAACAAUAGGUAAUCGAAGACGAAAAGAGGAUUUCCUUACUCCUCGAACCUUCGUCGUUCCUGAAGAGUCUGAUGCUGGAAAAUGAUUGACCCUCGAACUCUGGAAAAAACUUAUUCAAUUUUUUAUUGAUAAUAUGGAUUGCUUUGCUUGGUCCCAUUUAUAUAUGAUAGAGAUUCCACCAGA
Molecule: long non-coding RNA, 207 nt
Filed under: Nicotiana benthamiana
Lineage: Eukaryota; Viridiplantae; Streptophyta; Magnoliopsida; Solanales; Solanaceae
Description: long non-coding RNA (NBEN_LNC035722)
Source: RNAcentral